Long non-coding RNA from Beta vulgaris subsp. vulgaris (sugar beet), 566 nucleotides. RefSeq lists it as uncharacterized. The record is from RefSeq and is a predicted model, not a curated record. The transcript has 2 exons. NCBI's taxonomy places the organism in Eukaryota, Viridiplantae, Streptophyta, Magnoliopsida, Caryophyllales, Amaranthaceae.
AAGAAAAAAAAAAAAAAAGAGGAGUGGAAGAGCAAUCUAAGUACCAGACUCACGAUAUCACCAUUUCUUUCUCUUCCUUUGGCAAUUGACUUCUACUUCUUGCUUCAACCAAGGAAACCAAUCAAAACUACAAAAUUUAUUGUCAACCAUCAUCACACUUCAACUCUUGUUCGUCUCUUCAAUAGUUCUAGAUUUUUCUUGUGGGUCUUUCAAAGAGUGAAUUUUUGGGGUUUAUUUUGGACGUUUUGGGACGAACUUCGGAUCGAAAGGGCGGUUUUCGAGUAUUUCUUGUGUGAUUUUUGUCUCCCAUAUUCAAGGACUUGAAGAUAGUUAGCUCCAGUUGGGUUAAAGAGUGCGUUGGAUCCAUUUUGAUUUAGUAGGACUUUAAAAAGACUUCCGCUGUUAUUUAUUUAUAGGAUUAUGUUCUGGGUUGUAAUAAUUAAUUUUACAUUCUAUUUAGUUGGUCUGUAAUAAUUAGUUAAAACUUAUUGGUUAUUGUUUUAGUUAGAACCAUUAGCCUUGCGGUUAUUAUUAAUAAUUAUCGCGGCGUAGCACCUUUGGAUUUC